GUCGGGGCGAAGCGCCAGGUCGUGUUUCGGCUGGAACGCAGCGGUGGGAGUGGUCGACAUUUAUGCAGCAGCAGCAGCGGCAGCAUGCAACGCGUACGUCUGGGUUGCUGACGUGCGCGGAAUCACGUUGCCGACUCGGCGGGAAUGAAUGGCGCGCAGAAAGGGGACGGCGCCGCUCUUGCGCGAGCACGUUCCCGGCCGCUCGAGAGAUGGUGACAUGUUUUCCGCAGGACGGCUGAAAACUCUGACUGGCCUUGUGUGUGACUGAGGUGGUAAGACGGUCUGCAAGAGGAAAUAAACAGCGCCACAAAGUCCUCGCCAAGGAAGAGCAAAAUAAACGAUCUUUAACUGCUGCGAAGAUGAAAGUUGGCUAUGAAGACAAAAAGAAAAAGAAUGGUACGGGCAGACGAACCGCUCUUCUAGAAUUUUUUCCACCAUAAAUAUCUCCAAUGGAAGAAAUGGUAAAGCGGGAAAACAGA
This is a non-coding RNA of Dermacentor albipictus, 479 nucleotides long. NCBI's taxonomy places the organism in Eukaryota, Metazoa, Arthropoda, Arachnida, Ixodida, Ixodidae. The record is from RefSeq and is a predicted model, not a curated record.